RNAcentral lists this transfer RNA (89 nucleotides) under Canis lupus familiaris (dog). It matches the Rfam family "tRNA". From Rfam's summary of the family: Transfer RNA (tRNA) molecules are approximately 80 nucleotides in length. Lineage: Eukaryota; Metazoa; Chordata; Mammalia; Carnivora; Canidae. RNAcentral also lists the same sequence under 1 other name. The record is from Rfam by way of RNAcentral.
GCCUGGGUGGCUCAGUGGUUGAGCGCCUGCCUUUGGCUCAGGGCGUGCCUUUGGCUCCCCGGUCCUGGGAUCAAGUCCCACAUCAGGCU